This 807-nucleotide long non-coding RNA is filed under the name Mytilus galloprovincialis (Mediterranean mussel). Lineage: Eukaryota; Metazoa; Mollusca; Bivalvia; Mytilida; Mytilidae. The record is from RNAcentral.
GCAAUUUUUAACGUAAAAGUAAGAUUUGUGUGUUCAAUAAAAUAAAUGUAUGGUGCAAAAAUUUAUAGAAUUAACUUAAAAUAAGAAAAACAUGUCCGGGCCUUUCUGUAGAUAUAUGGAUAUUGGGUGAUUUUAUUUUGUAUAGGCAAAUGGUUGCUGUUCUUAAAUCAUAUAUAAUAACAUAAUAUUAAUCCGAACGCAUUACCGUGCGUAACGUCACAGUUAGUACGUAUCGAAACGUAUCAAUGCGGGGUGAAAACGUGAGUCUACACGUACUAAUACAUAGCAAAACGUGAUAAAAACGUAGCACACACCUAGAAAAACCUAGUUUUCAAAAUAACGGGACACUUUUGUUCAAAAUGUAGUUGAAACGUAGACUUUUAAACGUAGUAAAACUUGACAGUGUGACUGCGGCUUUAGCAACCAACAUUUAACAAUCAUAUACGUACUUACUUUUCCCUUGACUAGACGAUUUGGUUAACCUAUGAUUUUCGAAGAAUUUUUUGUUCGAUAUUUUCUCCUCAGUAGCAAUGUGAAAGAAUGUCUUGGGUAUCUAAGCAUUAAAUCGAUGAUUUAUUUGGUCAUAUAUUCCUUUAAGUUAAUACGAUGGCAAUUAAAAUUCAUUGCUUUUGGUUGAUUUAUAAAAGUGAGGAUUAAACGUCAUUUUUAUGAUUAUGAUGAACUCCUACGAUUUCAACCUUAAUUAUAAAAUAACAAGGGCUAAUGGACCACAGACUAUGGGCCAACAGAUUUAAACCAUUUACAGCGAAUUAUUCUCUGAUUCUCUGUGAAUCAUUGUUGCUAUCU